CUCAGCCAUGCUGAGGAUGCUCUGCAGGAGGCUUCCUGGAGCAGAGCUGGGGAGAGGGCUUUCUUUCCGGGGAGCUCUAGUCUUCACCUUCACCUUGGACAUCAUCUCCUGACUUCCAGAGCAGACCCUCCAGCCUUCCAUCACAGAACCUUUGGCCUCCUGAUAGAGAGUUGCACAGGACAACACAGAGAGCUCCAGGUCUUCAGCCUCUGACUGGAUCUUUUGAAUCUCCAACAUUCAGACAGCUUGUGCACUCUUCCACACCUUACUGCAAUAGGCCACUGCCCUAGCUAUUGGAAAUAUCACUUUUUCAAUCAAUCGACUGAUGAUAAGAAAUAAGAAUCAGAUCAAGAAGCCCCAUCCAUCGCAUUGUUAAUCUCUUCCUUCUCUGAACUCAACAGCAUGGUGACUGGGUGUUGUCCGAUUUCUCUGCAUGUCCCCCUUGUGUGGCAAAACACUCGGUACAUAGGAAGGACCCAACCACUGUGGGCUGGAAGAGCACAUUCGGACCUGAAGAGCUGGAUUCUGAUAUCAGAAAAGACUUCUGUGUCUGUUGCUGCCAUGCCUUCCCAUGCACCUCCAUUUGACUCAAACAGCUUUUAUAGGAAGUAAGAAACAAAAAUAAUUCACCCUUCAAGAUUUG
This is a long non-coding RNA of Fukomys damarensis (Damara mole-rat), 643 nucleotides long. RefSeq lists it as uncharacterized. The transcript has 4 exons. NCBI's taxonomy places the organism in Eukaryota, Metazoa, Chordata, Mammalia, Rodentia, Bathyergidae. The record is from RefSeq and is a predicted model, not a curated record.